GACGAACGCUGGCGGCGUGCUUAACACAUGCAAGUCGAACGGAAAGGCCCUGCUUUUGUGGUGUGCUCGAGUGGCGAACGGGUGAGUAACACGUGAGUAACCUGCCCCUGACUUUGGGAUAACUUCAGGAAACUGGGGCUAAUACCGGAUAGGAGCUCCUGCUGCAUGGUGGGGGUUGGAAAGUUUCGGCGGUUGGGGAUGGACUCGCGGCUUAUCAGCUUGUUGGUGGGGUAGUGGCUUACCAAGGCUUUGACGGGUAGCCGGCCUGAGAGGGUGACCGGCCACAUUGGGACUGAGAUACGGCCCAGACUCCUACGGGAGGCAGCAGUGGGGAAUAUUGCACAAUGGGCGGAAGCCGGAUGCAGCAACGCCGCGUGCGGGAUGACGGCCUUCGGGUUGUAAACCGCUUUCGCCUGUGACGAAGCGUGAGUGACGGUAAUGGGUAAAGAAGCACCGGCUAACUACGUG
This 468-nucleotide ribosomal RNA is filed under the name uncultured bacterium. Its description in RNAcentral is "partial 16S ribosomal RNA". It matches the Rfam family "Bacterial small subunit ribosomal RNA", at positions 28 to 507 of the family's 1533-position model. The record is from RNAcentral.